AUUGAAACGCUGGCGGCAGGCCUAACACAUGCAAGUCGAGCGGAAACGAGUUAUCUUAACCUUUCGGGGAACGAUAACGGCGUCGAGCGGCGGACGGGUGAGUAAUGCCUAGGAAAUUGCCCUGAUGUGGGGGAUAACCAUUGGAAACGAUGGCUAAUACCGCAUGAUGCCUACGGGCCAAAGAGGGGGACCUUCGGGCCUCUCGCGUCAGGAUAUGCCUAGGUGGGAUUAGCUAGUUGGUGAGGUAAGGGCUCACCAAGGCAACGAUCCCUAGCUGGUCUGAGAGGAUGAUCAGCCACACUGGAACUGAGACACGGUCCAGACUCCUACGGGAGGCAGCAGUGGGGAAUAUUGCACAAUGGGCGCAAGCCUGAUGCAGCCAUGCCGCGUGUGUGAAGAAGGCCUUCGGGUUGUAAAGCACUUUCAGUCGUGAGGAAGGUAGUGUGUUUAAUAGAUGCAUUAUUUGACGUUAGCGACAGAAGAAGCACCGGCUAACUCCGUGCCAGCAGCCGCGGUAAUACGGAGGGUGCGAGCGUUAAUCGGAAUUACUGGGCGUAAAGCGCAUGCAGGUGGUUUGUUAAGUCAGAUGUGAAAGCCCGGGGCUCGACCUCGGAAUAGCAUUUGAAACUGGCAGACUAGAGUACUGUAGAGGGGGGUAGAAUUUCAGGUGUAGCGGUGAAAUGCGUAGAGAUCUGAAGGAAUACCGGUGGCGAAGGCGGCCCCCUGGACAGAUACUGACACUCAGAUGCGAAAGCGUGGGGAGCAAACAGG
RNAcentral lists this ribosomal RNA (771 nucleotides) under uncultured Pseudoalteromonadaceae bacterium. Its description in RNAcentral is "bacterial SSU rRNA". It matches the Rfam family "Bacterial small subunit ribosomal RNA", at positions 28 to 776 of the family's 1533-position model. The record is from RNAcentral. Lineage: Bacteria; Pseudomonadati; Pseudomonadota; Gammaproteobacteria; Alteromonadales; Pseudoalteromonadaceae.